Molecule: non-coding RNA, 2022 nt
Organism: Salmo salar (Atlantic salmon)
Lineage: Eukaryota; Metazoa; Chordata; Actinopteri; Salmoniformes; Salmonidae
Source: RefSeq, a predicted model, not a curated record
GCUUGGUCGGAGGCAGAGCAGUUGCCAUACCAGGCAGGGCAUCGUUAAGGGGGGGAAACAUGAAUGACUCAUGGCUCCUAGCCUGGUAGGGGACCCUAAAUGUUGAGAAAAUUAUUUGUUUAUCAUUUAAAAAAUGUUAGACAAAUAAAUCUGUGAUGAAAAUUAAAACCUAUAACUAUAGUCAGAUCAGACAUCUCUACCCAACCAUCCCGUUUGUACCCCCCAUAAUGCACAUGGUUUGGUCCAUUCUCCACGAGGAGAAAUAAGAAAUACCGCUGAUCUGACAGUUGCUCCGCCAUGUAGCCUAAGCAUUCAGGAGAAUUAAACACUAUGCCCCCCUCAAAAACGAAAUUGGGUUUCCAAAAAGGGAAAGAAAAGAAACAGAGACAAAUACAGCAAAAUUCUGGAAAAAAAUUACUCACUACAUUUUUUUCCCAGAAAAAAAAAACGAGGAGAAGGAUUUGAGUGAUGCUACUACUACUACUGCUGUAAACAAAUAUCCCAACGUGUGCCCCCUACAUGAAGUUGAAACAGCGGACGUUGGAGUGCCUAGAGAGCCCCAGGUAGGCGGAAUCUCAGCAGAAAGCUGUCAGACAGACUCUGAUGCAAAGGAGAGCAGGAAGGAUGAAGAGGAGUUUAAGAGUAGCAGCAGUGCCAGUGAAGGACUGAUAGAAGAGAUUGAACAAGCAAGUAAUAAGGAAAAGGAAAAGUAUGGACAGAUUCGAAGUGAGGAAGAUGAGGUUUUAGAUGAUCCAGCACUGUGGCCAGAGAAAGUACAAGACCAUGAAAGAUAAGCUAUUGUUCGCAGACUAGCCAACAGGUGUGGUGAGGAGACAGAACUGUAUAAAAUCAUGCCCCCAGACUCAGAAGGCAAGCCAUUCCCCAACUAUUUACAGUACUACAGUAAGUCAGCAAAUGGAAGAGAAAAGGUGCAGAGAGACUGGCUUAUUUAAAGUAAGAGUGUAAAGGCAUUAUAUUGCAUUCCAUGUGUUCUUUUUUCUCAUCAGCAAAGUAAACCAUCGCCAGGUUAUCUGAAUAUUAAUGAUGGAUAUAAGAUAUCCAUCAGAUAUAGACAGCUGCAGAAACGGAUCCAGUCAGAAAUGUAUAAAAACAGGAUUUUGGAUUUUGGAUAUUUAGCAUCUAGGAAUCUGCCAUUCUGGGGGAAAUCCCUCAAUCUUAAUGAUGUGCAUAGUGGACAUUACCUAGGCUUACUGGAACUGUUGUCAAAUUAUGACCCGUUAUUACGUCAGCACUUACAGGAAGUCAGGGACAAAAAGAAAGGACUGACUCAUUACCUCAGCCCUGAGAGCCAAAACGAAGAUAAAAGCACACAAAGAUAAAAUAAUUGAACGUUUUCUUGAAUUUAAAAGACAGGCAGUGACAUUUCUGAAAUGAUUUUGAGUGCAUUGGAAGGGCAUGGUAUUGACAUAGCAGAUUGCCCUGGUCAAGGCUAUGAUAAUGGUGCAAAUAUGUCAGGGAAAGGGAAGGGAGUUCAAGCACCCAUACUGCAAAAGAAUCCACUGGCCACAUACUCACCUUGUGCCUCCAAUACUCUUAAUCUUGUGGUUGUACAUGCAGCUUAGUCGUUCCCAGAAGUGUCAACCUUUUUUGGCUGUGUGAAUAAUCUUUACAAUCUGUUCAGUGCCAGCCCAGAGCGAUGGGCCAUUCACAAGGAAAAGACUGGCUGCUGUCUUUAACCGCCUUUCAGACAUGGGAUGGAGUGUGCCGUAUUGCUGCGGUCGGACCAGUGGACCAACUCGUUUACUGUCUAUCAUCAAGGCCCUAGACAUGCUUCUUGCUACCUGCAGCCUGACAAACGAAGCCAAAUCUGAGGCAAAAGGUCUGAAAAGCUACUUCAUGUCUUUCAAGACAGUCUUCCUGCUCACUUUCUGGGUAAAAGAUUUGCAGUGUAUUGAGAAUAGAAGCCUAAUUCUUCAGUCAGGAAAUAUUUCUCUGUACACUGAAGCACCUCACAAUAAGGCACUGCAGGAAGAAAUACAGGCUCUGUGUAAUCAAUGGGAC